GGUUUUGAUUGUGAGGUGUUAGCCAGCCCUAGCGAGGAGUUCAAUCUUAGUUCUUUAUUAUCGAUGCAUAAUGGUAUAGCUCUAGAUAAGACUGCAAGCGAUAAGUCAGCAGAAGAUUAGAAUGUCUAAAACCAUUGUUAUAAUCUAUAAUAGAGCAAGGUAUUGGAGGUGUGUUUAGUGUGGGGUUGAAGGCUCAGCAAGGCAGCUGUAUUAUAAAAUAUGGUUGGAUUGUCUUCCUUUUAAGAUAAAGAUAAAUUAAGACGAAUUUCAUUAAUUUUUCUUUGUAUUUUUAUUUUGAUGAAAAUUUUUUUAAGUCAAGGUAAAUUUUUAGUUUAAACUUUAGAAAAAAUAAAUCUUUGAUAAGUAUUUAGUGUUAUAUAGUUUAGUAUUGAAUUAAGCGUCGUUAAUAGUAAAUCACAAUUUUAAAUUUUGAAGUGAAAAGUUUUUAUAUUGCUAGAUGUGCAUUUUAAAUCUAAUAUAACGGCAACGGGUCAUUUUAAAAUUGAGACUAUAUUCUAAAUAUUGCUUAAUAUUUACCAAAUAUUUUAUUGUUCUGAUUAAUUAGCUUAAAGUAAUACCGAAGUGAUUAUAAUAAUGGAAUAC
This 603-nucleotide unclassified non-coding RNA is filed under the name Borreliella garinii. RNAcentral's name for it is "partial miscellaneous RNA". The record is from RNAcentral. Lineage: Bacteria; Pseudomonadati; Spirochaetota; Spirochaetia; Spirochaetales; Borreliaceae.